RNAcentral lists this ribosomal RNA (483 nucleotides) under uncultured bacterium. RNAcentral's name for it is "partial 16S ribosomal RNA". It matches the Rfam family "Bacterial small subunit ribosomal RNA", at positions 28 to 523 of the family's 1533-position model. The record is from RNAcentral.
GAUGAACGCUGGCGGCAUGCCUAAUACAUGCAAGUCGAACGAGAACGGAUUAUAGCUUGCUAUAAUUGUCAGCUAAGUGGCGCACGGGUGAGUAAUGUAUAGGUAAUAUGCCUCUUACUAAGGGAUAACAAUUGGAAACGAUUGCUAAUACCUUAUAUUCCUUUUUAUCAAAAGAUAAAAAGGGAAAGAUUUAUUGGUAAGAGAUUAGCCUGUAUUGUAUCAGUUAGUUGGUGGGGUAAUGGCCUACCAAGACGAUGACGCAUAACUGGUUUGAGAGGAUGAUCAGUCACACUGGAACUGAGACACGGUCCAGACUCCUACGGGAGGCAGCAGUGGGGAAUAUUGCACAAUGGACGAAAGUCUGAUGCAGCAACGCCGCGUGGAGGAUGACACAUUUCGGGCGUAAACUCCUUUUAUAUAAGAAGAUAAUGACGGUAUUAUAUGAAUAAGCACCGGCUAACUCCGUGCCAGCCGCCGCCGUAA